RNAcentral lists this ribosomal RNA (1100 nucleotides) under uncultured Planctomycetales bacterium. RNAcentral describes it as "bacterial SSU rRNA". It matches the Rfam family "Bacterial small subunit ribosomal RNA", at positions 13 to 1120 of the family's 1533-position model. The record is from RNAcentral. Lineage: Bacteria; Pseudomonadati; Planctomycetota; Planctomycetia; Planctomycetales.
UUGAUCCUGGCUCAGAACGAACGUUGGCGGCGUGGAUUAGGCAUGCAAGUCGAGGGAAUCUCCCGCAAGGGAGGGAACCGGCGUAAGGGGCAGUAAGGCAUGGGUAACCUACCCCGAGGUCCGGGAUAGCCAUCAGAAAUGGUGGGUAAUACCGGAUGAACUCGUGAGAGCAAAGGUCCGCCGCCUCGGGAGGGGCCCAUGUGGUAUUAGCUAGUUGGUAGGGUAAUGGCCUACCAAGGCGAAGAUGCCUAGCGGGUGUGAGAGCACGACCUGCGCCACUGGCACUGAGACACUGGCCAGACACCUACGGGUGGCUGCAGUCGAGAAUCUUCGGCAAUGGGCGCAAGCCUGACCGAGCGACGCCGCGCGCGCGAUGAAGGCCUUCGGGUUGUAAAGCGCUGUCGAGGGGAGGAAAAGCCCCACAAGGGCUUGAUCGGCCCCUGGAGGAAGCACGGGCUAAGUUCGUGCCAGCAGCCGCGGUAAGACGAACCGUGCGAACGUUGUUCGGAAUCACUGGGCUUAAAGGGUGCGUAGGCGGGUUGUCCAGUCUGGGGUGAAAUCCCACGGCUCAACCGUGGAACUGCCUCAGAUACUGACGACCUCGAGGGAGGUAGGGGCGAGCGGAACUGUGGGUGGAGCGGUGAAAUGCGUUGAUAUCCACAGGAACUCCGGUGGCGAAGGCGGCUCGCUGGACCUCUGCUGACGCUGAGGCACGAAAGCUAGGGGAGCAAACGGGAUUAGAUACCCCGGUAGUCCUAGCCCUAAACGAUGGGUACUAGGUAGUAGGCUAGACAUGGGCUUACUGCCGUAGCAAAAGUGCUAAGUACCCCGCCUGGGGAGUAUGGCCGCAAGGCUGAAACUCAAAGGAAUUGACGGGGGCUCACACAAGCGGUGGAGCAUGUGGCUUAAUUCGAGGCUACGCGAAGAACCUUAUCCUGGGCUUGACAUGUGCGAAAGCGCCGGGAAGUAGGACCCGGAAACGGGAACGAACGGUACCCAGCCCGGAACCCGGCACAGGUGCUGCAUGGCUGUCGUCAGCUCGUGUCGUGAGAUGUCGGGUUAAGUCCCAUAACGAGCGAAACCCUUACCUUCAGUUGCUA